This 1205-nucleotide ribosomal RNA is filed under the name uncultured bacterium. Its description in RNAcentral is "partial 16S ribosomal RNA". It matches the Rfam family "Bacterial small subunit ribosomal RNA", at positions 37 to 1268 of the family's 1533-position model. The record is from RNAcentral.
CGGCAGUGCGCGUCUACCAUGCAGUCGAACAACCCUUCGGGUGAAUGGGCGAAGGGUGAGUAACGGCUGGGAAUAUGCCCUCAUGAGGGGGAUAACGGCUGAAAAAUGUCGCUAAUACCCCAUAUGAUGAGAGGUGAAAUGAAUUUCGCCUGAGGAUGAUGCCGCGUCUGAUUAUCUAAUUGGUGAGGGGGGAGCGCACCACGGCAUCGAUCAUCUACUGGUGGGAUAAGAUGAUGAUCCACACUGGGGCUGAUACACGGCCCACACUCCUACGGGAGGCGGCAGUGGGGAAUUUUCCGCAAUGGGGGAAAGCCUGAUGGACCAACGCCGCGUGAGGGAUGAUGGCCUCUGGGCUGUUAACCUCUUUUCUCACCGAAGAUGAUCUGACGGUACUUGAGGAAUUAGCCUCCGCUAAUUCCGUGCCAGCAGCCGCGGUAAUACCGGAGUGGCAAGCGUUAUCCGGAAUUAUUGGGCGUAAAGCGUCCGCAGGCGGCCCUUUUCGUCUGCUGUUAAAACGUGGAGAUUAACUCUCUCGUGCUGCCGGAAACUGUUGGGCUUGAGUGUGGUAGGGGCAGAGGGAAUUCCCGGUGUAGCGGUGAAAUGCGUAGAUAUCUCGAAGAACACCAGUGGCGAAAGCGCUCUGCUGGGACAUAACUGACGCUCAUGGACGAAAGCCAUGGGAGCGAAACGGAUUAGAUACCCCUGUAGUCCUGCGCGUAAAACAUGAACACUAAGUGUCGGGGGAAUCGACCCCCUGGGUGUCGUAGCUAACGCGUUAAGUGAUCCGCCUGGGGAGUACGCACGCAAGUGUGAAACUCAAAGGAAUUGACGGGGCCCUGCACAAGCGGUGGAGUAUGUGGUUUAAUUCGAAGCAACGCGCAGAACCUUACCAGGCUUUGACAUCCUGCGUACCUCUUGGAAGACGACUCUGAUGCCUUCGGGAGCUGAGACGACUGACGGGUGGAUGCAUGUCUUCCGCUCGCGUCGUGUCGAUGAUAUGGUUGAGUCACGUCACGCAGCGCAACCCACCUUUUUACCUUGCCUUGCGUUCAGUUGGGUACUCUACGUUAAAGCGGCUGUCAUAAACAGACGAGGUAUGGAUGACAUGCAGUCAUCAUCGUCCACUGUACAUCUGGGCCUGACCUACGUACUACGCAUGCCUAUCGACAUGAAGCAGCAAGUCGACCCACGCACAAGGCUGAAGC